AUGGUUUGCUUCAAGAUUACCAAUAUUAGCCUCACGCUGGAGAUUUUACUCAUAGCUUUUACUGUCUGCAUGCAUGCGCUACGGUUUGUAGCUCAGGAUUUGUUUGAAUCCAAUUGGGUACGUCUUCUCAUUGCUGGUGUGGCGUGUAUUCCUGGAGCCCUAACACUUUGUACACUUUAUGGUCUUUUCUCCAAGCCUGAUGUUGUGUUGCUAGAUCUUAUAAUCAAAGACCACAUAUUGUUCAAGAUAUCCAGUAUCAUCAAUUCAUUGUUCAGACUACUUGAUGUGAUUUUCUUAAGUAUUGCUGCAACUAGAGUGACCGCCAAUUACUUGCAAGGGAAACUGCAGGAGUGUUUCCACUGA
Molecule: ribosomal RNA, 363 nt
Filed under: Triticum aestivum (bread wheat)
Lineage: Eukaryota; Viridiplantae; Streptophyta; Magnoliopsida; Poales; Poaceae
Description: partial small subunit ribosomal RNA
Source: RNAcentral